Molecule: long non-coding RNA, 286 nt
Organism: Dermacentor andersoni
Lineage: Eukaryota; Metazoa; Arthropoda; Arachnida; Ixodida; Ixodidae
Source: RefSeq, a predicted model, not a curated record
CUCCGAAGUUCCCUGCCGCCUUUAUGCUCCUACAGCCGCGCUACCGCCUUCCGGAACCGACGGCGGCGACGCUUCUCGUCUUCUGCGGAGAGAGAGAAAAGCAAAGGAAAAGCAAGGAGAUUGACCAGAGGCACCGAACGAGACAUCUAGACACGGGUCCUGGCACGAGCUGAAGACGUCAUGGAGAAGCACAGCCUGGCAGCCUACGUAUAGCUUACCCUUCCUUACCUCUUAGCCCAUCGAUUAAUAAAGUUGUUUCUCACUCUAUUAUUAUUACUAUUAUUAU